UUCACCACGGGCGGCUGCAUCGCGCGGCUUUCGGCUUCGUAAUAGCCGAUCUCGCUGAAGAAGGUGAGAUCGGGCGUGAGUUCGAACUCACCGGUCAAG
RNAcentral lists this transfer RNA (99 nucleotides) under Vitreimonas silvestris. RNAcentral's name for it is "Caulobacteraceae bacterium 0127_4 tRNA-Tyr". The record is from RNAcentral. Lineage: Bacteria; Pseudomonadati; Pseudomonadota; Alphaproteobacteria; Hyphomonadales; Hyphomonadaceae.